AUUGGCCUUGGGAUGCUUCAAGAAAAUUACGAUUUUGAAAGUAAGGCUCGAGUCUCUGAAUUCCAAGGAAAACCAUGCUUUCUUGAAGUUGAGUAGCAAAUUUUUGUUGCUAAAGCUGCAAAUUCCCAUAUCCGUCAUCGAUUGAAAAUGGUGGAAAAGCAAUACUCCCAUUUAGCCUUGUAUAUAUGUUGUAACCUACAUAAAAUGAUAAUAAAAGUAAUAUUCCCCUAAUUCUCUCUGGAACGUUUUGAAAUCAUAGGUCCUACUUCAGUUGCUGUAUCACUUGACCCAGAUAGAUUCUUGUCAAUGUCUUUCAAUUUUAACCGAACCUAGCGUAUCAAUACAUGUAUCUCUUCUUCAACCACCAAUUCUCUACUAAAAUCAAAUUACCUUUUUCUGACUUCAAGCACCCUCAACCUGCUUCUCUACUCCUUCCGGCUCUACAAGGCAGUCUCUAAGCUAAGUUCUCCAAUGGUAACCAGAAUUUCUAGGCAUGUUCCCCUGAUAAGGAGUUGCAUAAUUAUAAUACAAGUAGCCGAACUACAAGUUCAAAGGGGGGUAGCCACGCAAACUAUGAUGUCUGGCUGUUGUAUUCAAGUAAGGUGCACCAUGAACCAUAAACAGACUUGCUGGCUGCAGGAAACGAGAUUGCAUUGGAUGAAUAACACGACUAAUACUACCAAAGGCUUUUCGACACUUCCCUGAUAAUACAAAUGUUCAAGGUCUGCUAACCUGAUUUUCUGUUCCAGUCUUGGGAAUAGCUAAAGGUAAUGAAACAGUUGGGGAGAUGGAGGUGGCUGUGAUGGGACGAACAGUGCUAACAGCAGUUGCAAAGGAGGCGAAGGCAGAAGCAAUGCAGCAGUAGAGGCACCAGUUGGAGGACAGGCGGUUGUGAUGGGAUCUGUUAUGGCAGUGGCUGGAGAGGAGGAGGCGACUGUUUCAUGAGUGUUAGCAGGGGUAGCAGUGGAGUUAGCAAUUGGAGGAGAUGAUGUGGUAAUAGCAGAAGCAGCACCAACAAAUGUACUUAGAUCAUCAUAUUCAUUUACUGAGACAGCUAUCCGAGGAUGCUUCUUGCUAACCUGCUUAUCUGUUCCAGU
RNAcentral lists this unclassified non-coding RNA (1097 nucleotides) under Hevea brasiliensis (rubber tree). Lineage: Eukaryota; Viridiplantae; Streptophyta; Magnoliopsida; Malpighiales; Euphorbiaceae. The record is from RNAcentral.